RNAcentral lists this ribosomal RNA (416 nucleotides) under uncultured beta proteobacterium. RNAcentral's name for it is "bacterial SSU rRNA". It matches the Rfam family "Bacterial small subunit ribosomal RNA", at positions 9 to 429 of the family's 1533-position model. The record is from RNAcentral. Lineage: Bacteria; Pseudomonadati; Pseudomonadota; Betaproteobacteria.
GAGUUUGAUCCUGGCUCAGAUUGAACGCUGGCGGAAUGCUUUACACAUGCAAGUCGAGCGGCAGCGCGGGGCAACCUGGCGGCGAGCGGCGAACGGGUGAGUAAUGCAUCGGAACAUGUCCAUGUCGUGGGGGAUAGCCCGGCGAAAGCCGGAUUAAUACCGCAUACGCCCGAGAGGGGAAAGUGGGGGACCGCAAGGCCUCACGCGAUUGGGUUGGCCGAUGUCCGAUUAGCUAGUUGGCGGGGUAAAGGCCCACCAAGGCGAUGAUCGGUAGCUGGUCUGAGAGGAUGAUCAGCCACACUGGGACUGAGACACGGCCCAGACUCCUACGGGAGGCAGCAGUGGGGAAUUUUGGACAAUGGGGGAAACCCUGAUCCAGCCAUUCCGCGUGAGUGAAGAAGGCCUUCGGUUGUAAG